GGAGAGGUGACAGAGUGGCCGAUUGUGCACGACUGGAAAUCGUGUGUCGCGCAAGCGACCGAGGGUUCGAAUCCCUCCCUCUCCG
RNAcentral lists this transfer RNA (85 nucleotides) under Ardenticatenales bacterium. RNAcentral describes it as "tRNA-Ser". It matches the Rfam family "tRNA". Rfam says of the family: Transfer RNA (tRNA) molecules are approximately 80 nucleotides in length. The record is from RNAcentral. Lineage: Bacteria; Bacillati; Chloroflexota; Ardenticatenia; Ardenticatenales.